This 429-nucleotide ribosomal RNA is filed under the name Gemmatimonadota bacterium. RNAcentral's name for it is "Gemmatimonadetes bacterium partial 16S ribosomal RNA". It matches the Rfam family "Bacterial small subunit ribosomal RNA", at positions 355 to 776 of the family's 1533-position model. Lineage: Bacteria; Pseudomonadati; Gemmatimonadota. The record is from RNAcentral.
UAGGGAAUCUUCGGCAAUGGACGAAAGUCUGACCGAGCAACGCCGCGUGAGUGAAGAAGGUUUUCGGAUCGUAAAACUCUGUUGUUAGAGAAGAACAAGGACGUUAGUAACUGAACGUCCCCUGACGGGAUCUAACCAGAAAGCCACGGCUAACUACGUGCCAGCAGCCGCGGUAAUACGUAUGUGGCAAGCGUUGUCCGGAUUUAUUGGGCGUAAAGCGAGCGCAGGCGGUUUCUUAAGUCUGAUGUGAAAGCCCCCGGCUCAACCGGGGAGGGUCAUUGGAAGCUGGGUGACUUGCGUGCAGAAGGGGAGAGUGUAAUUCCAUGUGUAGCGGUGAAAUGCGUAAAUAUAUGGAGGCACACCGGUGGCGUAGGCGGCUCUCUGGUCUGUACCUGACGCUGAGGCUCGAAAGCGUGGGGAGCAAACAGG